This 383-nucleotide ribosomal RNA is filed under the name uncultured eukaryote. RNAcentral's name for it is "partial 18S ribosomal RNA". It matches the Rfam family "Eukaryotic small subunit ribosomal RNA", at positions 592 to 976 of the family's 1831-position model. The record is from RNAcentral.
CAAUAGCAUAUAUUAAAGUUGUUGCAGUUAAAAAGCUCGUAGUUGGAUUUCUGGUAGGAGUGACCGUUCCGAACUUGAUUGUUCGUGUAUUGUGUUUUCUCCAGCCAUCCUUGUGGAGAACUUUUCUUGCAUUAAUUUGUAGGGAUUGGGACCCGCAUCGUUUACUGUGAAAAAAUUAGAGUGUUUAAAGCAGGCAAUCGCUUGAAUACAUUAGCAUGGAAUAAUAAGAUAGGACUUUGGUACUAUUUUGUUGGUUUGCAUACCAAAUUAAUGAUCAACAGGAACAGUUUGAGGAUAUUCGUAUGAACAUGUCAGAGGUGAAAUUCUUGGAUUUUGAUCAGACGAACUACUGCGAAAGCAUUUAUCAAGGAUGUUUUCAUUAA